Molecule: ribosomal RNA, 494 nt
Filed under: uncultured bacterium
Lineage: Bacteria
Description: partial 16S ribosomal RNA
Rfam family: Bacterial small subunit ribosomal RNA
Source: RNAcentral
GACGAACGCUGGCGGCGCGCUUAACACAUGCAAGUCGAACGGAAAGGCCUGCUUUCCCUUGUGGAUUGCGGGUACUCGCGUGGCGAACGGGUGAGUAACACGUGAGUGAUCUGCCCCCAACUUGGGUAUAAGCCUGGGAAACUGGGUCUAAUUCCCGAUAGGACUGCAGGGUGGUGCCUGUGGUGGAAAACGAUUUUCUAGUGGUUGGGGAUGAGCUCGCGGCCUAUCAGCUUGUUGGUGGGGUAAUGGCCUACCAAGGCGGCGACGGGUAGCCGGCCUGAGAGGGUGGACGGCCACAUUGGGACUGAGAUACGGCCCAGACUCCUACGGGAGGCAGCAGUGGGGAAUAUUGCACAAUGGGCGGAAGCCUGAUGCAGCGACGCCGCGUGGGGGAUGACGGCCUUCGGGUUGUAAACUCCUUUCGACCGCGAGGAAGCCACCUGGUUGGAAGGGUGGUGACGGUAGUGGUAGAAGAAGCACCGGCUAACUACGUG